This 1154-nucleotide ribosomal RNA is filed under the name human gut metagenome. RNAcentral describes it as "bacterial LSU rRNA". It matches the Rfam family "Bacterial large subunit ribosomal RNA", at positions 805 to 1989 of the family's 2925-position model. The record is from RNAcentral.
UGAGGUGUGGAUAGGGGAGAAAUUCCAAUCGAACCCGGAGAUAGCUGGUUCUCCUCGAAAUAGCUUUAGGGCUAGCCUCGAUACAGAUUUGCGGAGGUAGAGCACUGAAUUUCCUAGGGGGCGUCAAAGCCUACCGAAGAAUAUCAAACUCCGAAUGCCGCGUAAUCGAUUAUCGGGAGUCAGACUGCACGAGAUAAGUUGGGCGGUCAAAAGGGAAAGAGCCCAGACCUUCAGUUAAGGUCCCCAAGUGCGCGUUAAGUGGAAAAGGAUGUGGGAUUUCGAAGACAACCAGGAUGUUGGCUCAGAAGCAGCCAUCCAUUCAAAGAGUGCGUAAUAGCUCACUGGUCGAGAGGUCCUGCGCCGAAAAUGUCCGGGGCUGAAACGCGCCACCGAAACUAAGGAACCGAAAGGUUGGUAGAGGAGCAUUGCAUGCGGGAAGAAGCAGUACCGAAAGGAGCUGUGGACUGCAUGGAAGAGAGAAUGCCGGAAUGAGUAGCGAGAUAGAGGUGGGAAUCCUCUAGGCCGAAUAUCCAAGGUUUCCAGAGUAAAGCUGAUCUGCUCUGGGUAAGUCGGGGCCUAAGGCGAGGACGAGAGUCGUAGCCGAUGGACAACAGGUGGAGAUUCCUGUACUGCGGUAUGACAGAACUGUGGGGACACGUAAGGAAAGCGGAAGCCGGGAAUGGAAAGCCCGGUGCAAGCGGGGUACCAGUCACUUUGGCAAAUCCGGGUGGCAAUGGGAAGCCGUGAUGCGGAGCGAAAUAAAGUAGUGAAGUCCGUGAGCCAUGCGUCAAGAAAAGCCGCUAUUGUUUAUACCGUACCCGUACCGUAAACCGACACAGGUGGAUGAGGAGAGAAUCCUAAGGCCGGCGGAAGAAGCAUUGUCAAGGAACUCGGCAAAAUGGCCCCGUAACUUAGGGAUAAGGGGUGCCUGGGAAACCAGGCCGCAGAGAAUAGGCUCAAGCAACUGUUUAGCAAAAACACAGGUCUAUGCGAAACCGAAAGGUGAGGUAUAUGGGCUGACGCCUGCCCGGUGCUGGAAGGUUAAGAGGAGAGGUUAGCGCAAGCGAAGCUUUGAAUUUAAGCCCCAGUAAACGGCGGCCGUAACUAUAACGGUCCUAAGGUAGCGAAAUUCCUUGUCGGGUAAGUUCCGACCC